Molecule: transfer RNA, 74 nt
Filed under: Trachylepis aureopunctata (gold-spotted mabuya)
Lineage: Eukaryota; Metazoa; Chordata; Lepidosauria; Squamata; Scincidae
Description: tRNA-Gln
Source: RNAcentral
ACAGGGUACGAACCUGUACCUGAGGACUCAAAAUCCCCUGUACUACCACUAUACUACCUCCUAGUAAAGACAGC